UACGAAGGGGGCUAGCGUUGCUCGGAAUCACUGGGCGUAAAGGGUGCGUAGGCGGGUCUUUAAGUCAGGGGUGAAAUCCUGGAGCUCAACUCCAGAACUGCCUUUGAUACUGAGGAUCUUGAGUUCGGGAGAGGUGAGUGGAACUGUGAGUGUAGAGGUGAAAUUCGUAGAUAUUCGCAAGAACACCAGUGGCGAAGGCGGCUCACUGGCCCGGUACUGACGCUGAGGUGCGAAAGCGUGGGGAGCAAACAGG
This 253-nucleotide ribosomal RNA is filed under the name uncultured bacterium. Its description in RNAcentral is "partial 16S ribosomal RNA". It matches the Rfam family "Bacterial small subunit ribosomal RNA", at positions 524 to 776 of the family's 1533-position model. The record is from RNAcentral.